Long non-coding RNA from Oreochromis niloticus (Nile tilapia), 665 nucleotides. RefSeq lists it as uncharacterized. The transcript has 3 exons. NCBI's taxonomy places the organism in Eukaryota, Metazoa, Chordata, Actinopteri, Cichliformes, Cichlidae. The record is from RefSeq and is a predicted model, not a curated record.
CAGAUGACAUGGACAGCAAAUUUAAACGUAAGAUUUUCCUAAAAAUGUAUUCUAUUGUGCACGUGCACAUGAUUUGAAAGCCAAAAAAAGUUUUGGAGGUUUUAAUUUUCUGCAUUUUUCUCGUAGAAGAGUCUGACGUUGUAGCUAAGCUGACGAGUGUCACCUUGGGUGUUCUGUCUGUUUUCCUCCUAAUGUUCAUCAUUGGGCUGGUUGUUCAAAACAGGAAACUUCAGCAAGCUUUUAAAGAACAACAAAAUCUGGACCAAAGUGAGAGUCGAGACAAUGAUGACUUGAACUAUGCUACAGUAACGUUUCAGCCGAAAGCAAAAAGAAUCCAAAUGGGGUCAAAUGUGAUCUAUGCUGCUACCAGAUAGUCUCAAGUUUUUCUGCUUUUAUAGUUGCACUGGGGCAUGGUUUAAACACAACUGUGAUGAAAAUCCUGACACCUGUUAAGUUGCAUCUUUCUUGUUACAGAAUCUGUAAUGAAACAGUAUUAAUUGGUACCAUAUGGUAAAAGUAAAUAUGGUACCAAUUAAUACAAACACAUGUGAACCGAUGAGGUAACACACAGCACUGUGUUUGAGUUAGAUAUAUAUCUGUGUUCAUGACUGGAAAGAUUUAAUGCUGUCUUAUAUAGUUUGACUCAUACACUUAGUUUGUUUAUA